CAACGAUCUUGUAUGUGUAAUUUUAUUAUGCUAGAGUCAUAGUUCCGACACCUAAUUCGUCGUUAGGAUCAUAUGCCGAUAUUUUGCAAUAGUAUAAUUUCUUAGUUGAUUUACUACGACACUUCUUGCUUCGCGCGUCUUACUCUACAGAGUACACAACGCCGACACACAACGAGAACAGACAAUUUCGAAUUCUUUGAAUUGCAGAAGCAUACUGACAGGGACGGAGUUUCAUUGAUGCGGUGCACCGUAUGAAGGGUGGAGCGAGCGAUUACGAUGAAGACCGGAUUCCAUCGGUGGAGUUCGGAUGAUCAAAGAAACGUAAGUGAUGAUGAAUUGGACGGUCUUGAUGAGCGCAAAGUAGGAGUUGUCAUUGAUGAGCAACGAGGUUUUCGUGGCUUGGUCUCUUUCGAAGUUGCCUUGCCGCUUAUACCAACGUUCAUUCUCAAACGCUGGGAGCUCUUCCUGAACAAAAAGGAGUUAUGCAAGUAUUCAACUAUGCUUGAACGUUUGUCUUGUAUUAGAUCUUCCGCUCCUUUUAGUUUCUUUGUUCAUGCUUCUUUUCUCACCUGUUCUUCGUCACAGCAUCACAGAAUUUAUAGUCCCAAAGUGCCCAUGAUUCUCUAUUCCUAAUCCUUUCUACAUUAUUUUUGUUAGCUUGUAUUAUUCUUUUCUUCUUCUUCAACCUGUCAAAUCAACUUAUUCAUAUCUUGACGAUGACAAAAGAAUUCCUCUACCACCGCGCUAUUGUGUUGUUGAAUAAAGUCUAAUCUCAUGAACAAUUCAGACUACUUUACCACUACCCAGUCAACAAUUGACCUUACGUCCUGAUAGUGAAGGCGUGAGUUUGAUUUUUUUUAGUUCCCACUUUCCAGUGCCGUUAAACAUGAAUCCGUCACUCACAUGAUGUGGGUAUCAGCUGAGCUUAAUGAAAAAACAAACACUAAUAUCAAUUUUUUUCUAAAUCUUUGGCAGCAAACUAUGCAUUGAAUUUGAAAAACACAUCAAACUACAAACUUCAUGUGCAUGACUGGGUUGGAAUAGGAAAUGACAUUUCGUGGAGCUUUUGGAGCUUCCUUUCAGCUUGGGACCAGUCCAUUUUUUUCUUGGAAAUCCACCAUGCCACCUCAAGUUGGUUCAACUUUAAAUUUUCUUUUCAUCAUAGCAACUGCAACAGCUUUUGUGAGAGUCGUAUGGUGUCUUUACUCAAAUGUUCAUAUUUUUUUUAAUUCGUUGAACUGGAAGCCACUUAUUAGACCAUAUUUUAUAGUGUUAUAUGAAAACCUGGUCGGAUAAGUUUAAAAUCAUCGAACAGGUGUAUGACCCUCAUGUCGUGGAGGUUUUCCAAAGAAAAGUCAUAAUUUUUCCCUGUUGCUUCUUCGUUUAAUGUUACCUUAUGGUGGUGUUAUGAUCAUGCUAGCAUGGCACCUGAAGGAUAUGCUCCUCAGUCUCAACUAGGUUCAGGAAAUUGUGGGAAGUACAAUUUUUGGCCCCCCAUUUCAUGCAGUACUGUCUGAAGGAUGAUUAUUGCUGUACUCUCUGAAGGAUGUUUAUUGUUGUACUCUCUGAAGGAUGUUUAUUUGUACACAAUCUGAAAGAUACAAAUGUUGUGUUGAAAGAAACAAGCUAUAUUGAACGUACGUUGGUACUUCAGAAACUUUUCCGCCUUUUUCGGUAAAAUGAUCUUCAUUACUUUAUGUGGUUAGUUGUGGAUGGAAGGUAAAACUUCACCCAGUAAUAAUCCCAUUUCACUCUGUAAAAGUUUAGUAUUUGAUAAAA
Vigna radiata var. radiata (mung bean) is the source of this 1779-nucleotide RNA transcript. RefSeq lists it as uncharacterized. Lineage: Eukaryota; Viridiplantae; Streptophyta; Magnoliopsida; Fabales; Fabaceae. The transcript is spliced from 4 exons. The record is from RefSeq and is a predicted model, not a curated record.